Molecule: long non-coding RNA, 444 nt
Filed under: Ananas comosus (pineapple)
Lineage: Eukaryota; Viridiplantae; Streptophyta; Magnoliopsida; Poales; Bromeliaceae
Description: long non-coding RNA (ACOM_LNC044617)
Source: RNAcentral
UAUCUAAAAUUUAAAUUUAAUUUAUACAAUUACAAAUAUAAAGUUUAAACUCAAGUUAAAUUUUAAAUUUGAAUUUAUGAAGAUUUAUCACAAUCAAAUUAGCCAUUAUCUAAUUUGGUAGGUAACAAAAUUAAAUUAGAAAAUGAAGAUUUGUUGGAUAUUAUCAAAUUUGGCAAUUAGCUAAUAUAUAUUUUUAAAUAUUAUCUUUACGAUUGAUUGAUAACCUGUUGAGCAGGUUACCAUUGCAAAAGUCAAUCUUAGCCUCAAAAAUUUGAAUGCUCAGAUUUAAAUUGGCCAGUGUAUUGAAGCAUUUCUUUAUAAAAUAAGUCAAAAAAAUAGGAAUCUUCUCAAAAUUAUCUUUUUAGGGGAGAACUAUUUUAUUUUUCAAAAAAAGAAAAUUAUUUUUUGGAUGAAAAAUUGGAAAACUUUUUUUUUUUUGAAAAA